RNAcentral lists this ribosomal RNA (254 nucleotides) under uncultured bacterium. RNAcentral's name for it is "partial 16S ribosomal RNA". It matches the Rfam family "Bacterial small subunit ribosomal RNA", at positions 524 to 776 of the family's 1533-position model. The record is from RNAcentral.
UACGUAGGGGGCGAGCGUUGUCCGGAUUUAUUGGGCGUAAAGAGCUCGUAGGCGGUUCGAUAAGUCGGAUGUGAAAUCUCCACGCUUAACGUGGAGGGUGCAUUCGAUACUGUCGUGACUAGAGUCCGGUAGAGGAGUGUGGAAUUCCUGGUGUAGCGGUGAAAUGCGUAGAUAUCGGGAGGAACACCUGUGGCGAAAGCGGCGCACUGGACCACAACUGACGCUGAGGCGCGAAAGCUAGGGGAGCAAACAGG